GACGAACGCUGGCGGCGUGCUUAACACAUGCAAGUCGAACGGAAAGGCCCUGCUUUUGUGGGGUGCUCGAGUGGCGAACGGGUGAGUAUCACGUGAGUAACCUGCCCUUGACUUUGGGAUAACUUCAGGAAACUGGGGCUCAUACCGGAUAGGAGCUCCUGCUGCAUGGUGGGGGUUGGAAAGUUUCGGCGGUUGGGGAUGGACGCGCGGCUUAUCAGCUUGUUGGUGGGGUAGUGGCUUACCAAGGCUUUGACGGGUAGCCGGCCUGCGAGGGUGACCGGCCACAUUGGGACUGAGAUACGGCCCAGACUCCUACGGGAGGCAGCAGUGGGGAAUAUUGCACAAUGGGCGGAAGCCGGAUGCAGCAACGCCGCGUGCGAGGUGACUGCCUUCGGGGUGUAAACCGCGUUCGCCUGUGACGAAGCGUGAGUGACGGUAAUUGGUAAAGAAGCACCGGCUAACUACGUG
This 468-nucleotide ribosomal RNA is filed under the name uncultured bacterium. RNAcentral describes it as "partial 16S ribosomal RNA". It matches the Rfam family "Bacterial small subunit ribosomal RNA", at positions 28 to 507 of the family's 1533-position model. The record is from RNAcentral.